This 450-nucleotide ribosomal RNA is filed under the name uncultured bacterium. RNAcentral describes it as "bacterial SSU rRNA". It matches the Rfam family "Bacterial small subunit ribosomal RNA", at positions 29 to 524 of the family's 1533-position model. The record is from RNAcentral.
AACGAACGCUGGCGGCAUGCCUAACACAUGCAAGUCGAACGAGACCUUCGGGUCUAGUGGCGCACGGGUGCGUAACGCGUGGGAAUCUGCCCUAGGGUGCGGAACAACUCGGAGAAAUCCGUGCUAAUACCGCAUAAUGUCUUCGGACCAAAGAUUUAUCGCCCUGGGAUGAGCCCGCGUAGGAUUAGCUAGUUGGUGGGGUAAAGGCCUACCAAGGCGGCGAUCCUUAGCUGGUCUGAGAGGAUGAUCAGCCACACUGGGACUGAGACACGGCCCAGACUCCUACGGGAGGCAGCAGUGGGGAAUAUUGGACAAUGGGCGAAAGCCUGAUCCAGCAAUGCCGCGUGAGUGAUGAAGGCCCUAGGGUUGUAAAGCUCUUUUACCCGGGAUGAUAAUGACAGUACCGGGAGAAUAAGCUCCGGCUAACUCCGUGCCAGCAGCCGCGGUAAU